Molecule: long non-coding RNA, 1260 nt
Filed under: Ananas comosus (pineapple)
Lineage: Eukaryota; Viridiplantae; Streptophyta; Magnoliopsida; Poales; Bromeliaceae
Description: long non-coding RNA (ACOM_LNC011733)
Source: RNAcentral
CUACCCAACCGAGUAUGCAAGCGUAUCUCUGUCGAGCUCAAUCAGGCUCUCACAGGCUAUAGUCAAGUAAAUAGGGUUUAACAACUGAACUCACGUGCCCUCGGCACAAUCUGAUGUAAGAACAGCAAUCUGGGUCCACCGUCAACCUCAAUGGCACCCGAUAAUCCGGAACAGCCUAAACACUGCUGUAAAAAUACACUUGACACCUCAGCAUAAGCGUAAAAAUAUUCUGCACUAUUCUAGGUAUCCACCGCCCACAAAUUGCGGCGAUACAGACAAAUUACGACUCCUAGAGCUAAAUCCGAUAGUUUGUUCAACUCGCGAUGUAGAAACGUCAAUUUUCUCCUAAGUCAAAUCUAAGUCCAAUAUGCAUGAUUUAGCUAAUUUUUCUGAGCUCCAAUUUCAAUUCAUAGGCAUGAAAUUCCAAGAAUUGAGCUAAAUAAAGUACUAAACAAAGCUACAAAUACAUGCAGUUGACAUAUAUAGCAUUAGAAGGAAACCCGUAGAAUUCGGUAAGCAUCACUUUAACCCACCUCGAAAGCUACUCCAAAUCCGGCGCGAAGUCGAAACAGCGGAAUCACACGCUCGCCCGACCUCCUAACACAGCAACUACAACGCUCGUGUACACGAACGACUCCCCGGCGCAACGUCGGCAUUGAUCCGAACUCCACCCGAAGCCUCCCUCAAUCGUACGGAUCCACCCUAGAUAGAGAGAGGAGCAACAGCCGAAAUGCUCCCUCUCUGCCUCUCUAACAUUAUAUGGAAAGAAGGGAUAAGGGUGAAGUCCAUGAGGUAAGAAAUUACCAAAACACCCCUUACCUAUCCUGGUGUACCGGUACAACAUCGAUGUUGUACCGGUACACGCAGCAGAGAUGGCAAACCCGAGAGCAGUUGUGCAGGAAAAUUAUAUAAAGGUACCGGUACACUCUUUUGUACCGGUACAAAAUGCAGAAAAUCUGCAAUUUGCAGAUUCCAAUGCUAACUUCCUGCUCUCGUGUUGCACUGAGUCCGAUUUGCGUCUAUUUCGCAUCAACAGGACUCGGACUUGUCCCGACACUUUCUAGAGCUGUCGACAAGCCUGAAAUGCUGAAUUCCAGGGGUACUAUAGGGUUAAUUUCAUUCGUAUCCCUCUAAAUGUUCAAAAUAUCAUAAAUAUUCAUGUAAAUUUUAUUAUAUCACAAAUAUUCUUACAAAUACUUACUAUCUUAUAAAUAUGUCUUCACCGUUAACUUCUGUCUCUCUACAAAACAUCUAUUUUAG